Molecule: ribosomal RNA, 813 nt
Filed under: uncultured bacterium
Lineage: Bacteria
Description: bacterial SSU rRNA
Rfam family: Bacterial small subunit ribosomal RNA
Source: RNAcentral
CUCUUCGGGGAUGAUUAAACCGGCGCACGGGUGAGUAACACGUGAGUGACCUGCCUUUUAGACUGGAACAACUUACCGAAAGGUGAGCUAAUGCCGGAUGAGUUAUAUAAGUGCAUGUUUAUAUAGGAAAAGUUGGGGAGACCUGACGCUGAAAGAUGGACUCGCGUCCCAUUAGCUAGUUGGUAGGGUAAUGGCCUACCAAGGCGACGAUGGGUAGCCGGCCUGAGAGGGUGGCCGGCCACACUGGGACUGAGACACGGCCCAGACUCCUACGGGAGGCAGCAGUGGGGAAUUUUGCGCAAUGCUCGUAAGAGUGACGCAGCGACGCCGCGUGAAUGACGAAGGCCUUCGGGUCGUAAAGUUCUUUCGACAGGGAAGAAAAUGCCUAUAAGUAACUGUGUAUGUAUUGACGGUACCUGUAUAAGCAGCCCCGGCUAACUCCGUGCCAGCAGCCGCGGUAAUACGGAGGGGGCGAGCGUUGUUCGGAGUGACUGGGCGUAAAGAGCACGUAGGCGGUGUUGUAAGUCAUUAGUCAAAGACUAGAGCUCAACUUUAGUAAGGCUAGUGAUACUAUAAUACUAGAGUAUCAGAGAGGAUUGCAGAAUUCCUGGUGUAGCGGUGAAAUGCGUAGAUAUCAGGAGGAAUACCGUUAGCGAAGGCGGCAAUCUGGCUGGAAACUGACGCUGAGGUGCGAAAGCGUGGGUAGCAAACAGGAUUAGAUACCCUGGUAGUCCACGCUGUAAACGAUGGAUGCUAGGUGUUGGGCUUUUAGUUUCAGUGCCGCAGCAAACGCGAUAAGCAUCCCGCCUGGGG